UACGGGAGGCAGCAGUAGGGAAUCUUCCGCAAUGGGCGAAAGCCUGACGGAGCAACGCCGCGUGAGUGAUGAAGGUCUUCGGAUCGUAAAGCUCUGUUAUUAGGGAAGAACAAGUGCGUAAGUAACUGUGCGCACCUUGACGGUACCUAAUCAGAAAGCCACGGCUAACUACGUGCCAGCAGCCGCGGUAAUACGUAGGUGGCAAGCGUUAUCCGGAAUUAUUGGGCGUAAAGCGCGCGUAGGCGGUUUCUUAAGUCUGAUGUGAAAGCCCACGGCUCAACCGUGGAGGGUCAUUGGAAACUGGGGAGACUUGAGUGCAGAAGAGGAAAGUGGAAUUCCAUGU
RNAcentral lists this ribosomal RNA (343 nucleotides) under Staphylococcus kloosii. Its description in RNAcentral is "bacterial SSU rRNA". It matches the Rfam family "Bacterial small subunit ribosomal RNA", at positions 340 to 674 of the family's 1533-position model. Lineage: Bacteria; Bacillati; Bacillota; Bacilli; Caryophanales; Staphylococcaceae. The record is from RNAcentral.